RNAcentral lists this ribosomal RNA (292 nucleotides) under uncultured bacterium. RNAcentral describes it as "partial 16S ribosomal RNA". It matches the Rfam family "Bacterial small subunit ribosomal RNA", at positions 505 to 796 of the family's 1533-position model. The record is from RNAcentral.
GUGUCAGCCGCCGCGGUAACACGGGGGGAGCAAGCGUUGUUCGGAAUCACUGGGCGUAAAGGGCGUGUAGGCGGUCAGGUAAGUGGAAUGUGAAAGCCCUCGGCUCACCCGAGGAUCUGCAUUCCAAACUGCCUGGCUUGAGUAUGGGAGAGGAUGAGGGAAUUCCUGGUGUAGCGGUGAAAUGCGUAGAUAUCAGGAGGAACACCGGUGGCGAAGGCGCUCAUCUGGCCCAAUACUGACGCUGAGGCGCGAAAGCUAGGGGAGCAAACGGGAUUAGAAACCCCCGUAGUCC